AAAAUUUGUCCAUAUAUAUAUAAACACCUUCUAAAACCUCAAAUUUUUUAAAAGAUAUUAUUUGAAAGAACAUUUAGUAUUUUUCAAAGCAAAAGUACUAACACUUUACAAUGAUUCUGAAUAAUUGUGACCGUUCGGAUGAUUAUGAAUAAUUGUGACCACUCUAUACUAAAGAUAAAUGAUCUCAUUGUAUACAAUCCCAUGUCGAAAUCUCGUUCAAACAACAAACCAUCCAUAAUAAAUUAUAUAAAAAGCAUGCUUAAUUACACAAUUAGUUAGGGACCUUCUUACUUUCCCAUGCCUAUUUUUUGUUGGGGUAUUUUCAAUUAGGACCCCAACAGCUCAAAUACAUUACAGUCCUCAACGAUUCUUCAGCCUUUCUUCGCUUCUCUUCCCCCACUUUUCUCUUUGCCGAUUCUAAACCAGCAGACCAUCUCCUCAUAUGCGGAGCGGACAGUGCCGAUUCUUUCCCGACAUUCGACUGCAAAGAUCUGGAGGCCAAUUCCUUCCAUUUGGGGCCCUGAUCCUUCAUUCCCCUUAAACUUGCAGCCAUCCACAUCCUACCCAUUUCGCUCAAACUCAUAGUGAUGUGAUAGAGAGAGAAACCCUUUCGCCUGAAACCUUAGAGAGAAGAAGUAAUAGAGAGAGAAACACCUUUCUUCUGUGAUGUGCUGAAGAGAGAGGAUGUUAUAGGUUAGAGAAACUGUUGUCUGAUAAGAGAAAAGAUGUGAGAUGAUGUCGUCUUGAAGAGAGGAAGAGGAGGGGCCACUCAAUUUUAUAGGGAGAGGAUAAAGGUGGUUUUCAUUUCCAGGAGGUGGUUUUGGGAAACAGGAGCUGGUCAAGGGGACAAAAGAAAAAUGAGAUGAGAGCAAUGACACGGCAUUCGUAUUGGAAGGAAUAAAGGGCUCAAUGCUUACGUCAGUAGAAACCGGGUAGGAGCCACUGCCUCUCUCUGGUUUUUCAGAAAACCGAGGGAGAGAAUUAUGGGUGAACGAAAAUCCGGCGCCAGCUCGUACUUGUCCGUCAACCAGCGGCGCGGCCCACCUGUUUCUAGCAAGCUCG
RNAcentral lists this long non-coding RNA (1062 nucleotides) under Amborella trichopoda. RNAcentral's name for it is "long non-coding RNA (ATRI_LNC002310)". The record is from RNAcentral. Lineage: Eukaryota; Viridiplantae; Streptophyta; Magnoliopsida; Amborellales; Amborellaceae.